GGCUCCCCAGAGCAAGCCGCCAACCACACUAACUGUUCUGGCUAGCUCUGAGUUCAACUGGGAGACCUUUCCUCCAUUAAUAAGAUGGAGAGUGAUCAAAGAAAACUUCAUAUAUACACACAUGCAUGUGCACCCACACAUGCACAAAGGCAUGCAAAAAAAAUGAAAACAUAGAAAUAGUCUUGCUUAAAUCAUAACCUACCUUUCCAAUAAUGUGAAAAAAGCCAGGCACUCAAGAGACAGACACAGGAGAUCUCUAUGACUUUAGGGCCAGCCUGGUCCAUAUGUUGUUGAGUUCCAGGCCAGCCAAGAGCUUCAUAAUAAGACCCUGCCUCAAAAAAAAAAAAAAAAAAAAAAAAAAAGCAGGUGAAAAGAUAGCCAUAAUAAUAAAAAGUAAAUUGGUUAGAAGCAUACGAGGAGCAUCGAGCUUUUGGGCUGUGCUUUUGCAAGGGAGAAAACAAAACUUCUUACCAGACAUGAUGGUGCACAUAUGUAAUUCCGUAAUCAAGGAGGAUAAAGCAGGAAGACCAGAAGUUCAGUCCAACCUGGGCUACACAGUAGGACUCUGUCUCUAGAGGAAAGGAACCUCUCAGGAAAGAAGGCUUGAGCCCCCCUCUAGGUGCAUGGGGAGCAGCCGUCCGCGUUCUUCAGGGUGGGGAAGUGAAGCCCUCUUCCCGCAGUGAAAUGCUCCCGUGUGACCAGAUCUCUUUCCCCACAGUGGUCUCUGCUCUCAACAAGGCCUGGUGUGUGAGCUGCUUUGCCUGCUCCACCUGCAAUACCAAACUCACACUCAAGUAAGUACUGGGUCCAGUCCAUUGUGAUUACCAAAGCUAAAAGAUUUAGAUGCCAUUUAGAAUGUAAAAGGGGAAGUGAUUGAUUCCUGUCUCUUUUUCUCUUGAGUCCUUCUGAAAGUACAUGUUCUUCUUUAAUUGUUCCUGUUCUGUCCUUUCUUUGUUCCACUCAAAGGGAUAAGUUUGUUGAAAUUGAUCUAAAGCCAGUCUGCAAAUACUGUUAUGAGAAAAUGCCAGAAGAGUUUAAGAGGCGACUUGCCAAACGGGAGAGAGAAGCAAAGGAUAAGGACAAGCAGAGAAAGAGAAAGCCAGUGUGUCUGUAAACGUUCUGUCCCUCCUACUCCAUUCUCAUUGCUUCUCUGUGGUUAGUCUCUUAGGAUGCCUUUCUUUUCUGUGUGUCUUUUUGUUGUUCUGUCUUUUUUUUUAAGCGUGGUUUUUUGGUUUUUUGUGGCCAUAGAGAUUGAAAUACUCGUCCUGUGUGAACUUGGUUCUUUUGUCUUUUACAAGUAUAAAGCUUAAUGAGACCCAUACUUACCAAGGGCUGUGUAAUAUGUACAUAUCUGCCGCAGCUCAGCUUUUCUGUCAGUGUGACCAAGAGACACCUUUUCUCUACAACCUUUAAAUAGUAGUGGGAACAGUUUUAAAGUAUUUUAUGGCAAUUAACUGCUGUGGUCUUUGGUUUCUUUACCUAAAAUUAUUUAACUGAGGAAGUGGAGUGUUGGGUGUUUUAGAACCACACGUGCUCGCAGCAUGUCUUCUGGCUGAGCAAAGCCACCUAGAUGGCAUAGCAACACUGUCCUCUGCAGUGCUCUGUAUGCUCACUCCCUGCCGCUUGUGAAGGCAUUUCCUUGAGUUUCCAGACUCUUACUCUUGUUUUGUAUGGGUAUGCUUCAGUCUUGGACGUUCUGUUGGAUCACUGACAUGAUUAGUUCAUGGUUUUCUUUAUGGUGGUUUGAACUUGAAAAGAAGGUUUGCUUCAUUUUCUUAUUUCCUUUUGUUGAAGAAUUAAAAGGCAAAUAUAAACUUCAAACAAGAGAACUAGUCUCACUAAAGGAGGAAUCAUAUAUUUUAAGCUUUUGCCACCAAAAAUAGUUUUUGUUCUAAGAAAACAUUGGGAAAAUAUUUAGUUUAGUUAUAGUUACAGAGUACAUGUAGUUCCAAAAACAGGCAAGACCCAGAAUUCCCCAGUUAAAUGACUUUGGGCAGCAGAGAAACCAGAGACCAGCAACAGUUGAUAGAUGUAGAGCUACUUUAAAACUGUUCCAACUACUAUUUAAAGAUCGCAGAGAAAAAGUGUCUAGGCCACACUGUGACAAAAAAGCUGGUCUGAGCCUGCACAUGAGACAGGCCUGUACAUUCAAGCCUCUUACCACCAUUUAAACCAAACUGCCCCUCAAGUAUUCAUUUACCAACUGGCAACAUGUAACAUUUGAAUCAGCGUUAGUUUCUUUGUU
This 2245-nucleotide long non-coding RNA is filed under the name Mus musculus (house mouse). Its description in RNAcentral is "long non-coding RNA chr10:58417680-58419925". The record is from RNAcentral. Lineage: Eukaryota; Metazoa; Chordata; Mammalia; Rodentia; Muridae.